Nasonia vitripennis (jewel wasp) is the source of this 2166-nucleotide RNA transcript. It is a transcript of the gene named cleavage and polyadenylation specificity factor subunit 5, with no coding region annotated. Lineage: Eukaryota; Metazoa; Arthropoda; Insecta; Hymenoptera; Pteromalidae. The transcript is spliced from 7 exons. The record is from RefSeq and is a predicted model, not a curated record.
GCAAACAUUCUAGGUUAGGUUUCAUCCGAAACAAGCCGCUACCAAAGUUUGACGCGCGCGUGCGACGCCUUGUUUGCAAAAAAAAUUAUCAACGCCUCGAGGAAGAACAUAGGUAAUAAGUAUAGAGAGCAGCGAAGAAGCCGAAGGACGAGAGGAAGAUGACGAACCAGGUAAAGGGCAGCGGCUGGCCGAGACGCUCGAGCAGCAGCUCCUUCGACGGCAAGCUCCCGCCCAACCCCUCGAUAGCUGGCAACCGGACGAUAAAUCUAUACCCCUUGACAAACUAUAAAUUUGGAACAAAAGAGCCACUGUUUGAGAAAGAUCCAUCUGUACCAGCACGAUUCCAACGCAUGAGAGAUGAAUUUGACAAAAUUGGAAUGCGCCGCAGUGUGGAAGGUGUUCUUCUUGUGCAUGAACAUGGACUACCUCACGUACUCAUGCUUCAACUUGGAACAACCUUUUUCAAAUUGCCUGGUGGAGAGCUAAACGCAGGAGAAGAUGAGGUAGAGGGCCUUAAACGGCUCUUGACAGAGAUUCUUGGACGUCAGGAUGGAGUAAAACAGGAAUGGCUGAUUGAAGAUACAAUUGGAAAUUGGUGGCGACCAAAUUUCGAACCACCACAGUACCCUUAUAUUCCACCACACAUAACAAAACCAAAAGAGCACAAACGUCUGUUCUUAGUUCAAUUGCAAGAGAAAGGUGCGUACGGACAAUCUGUUGUUGCAGUACCGAAAAAUUACAAAUUAGUAGCAGCUCCACUUUUUGAACUGUAUGACAACUCUCAAGGAUAUGGACCAAUAAUUUCGUCGCUGCCACAAGCAUUGUGCAGAUUUAACUUUAUAUACAUGUGAAGAGAGAAUGUGAACAAUCCUUAAUUAUAGAACUAGAAAUAAUACAAAUAUCGUUUUAAGGCGAAUACUUUGAUGACGAAUAAAUACCCAUAGCUAUUUGUUCUUUGUAAAAUAUGACGCAAUAUAAAUUAAACAUUUUUAAUUUAAAUUAUUAGCGAUGUCAAAAUCUUAUGUGUUCUAAAAACCACUGAACCAGAAUUCUCACGUGGCGUGUCCGGUAUUCUGACAUUCAAAAUGGCGCCCCGGUGAUACCUGUUAAUAAGAGUUUACAGUGCAAUUUAUUUACUUUUGCGUGGAGUAUUUCGAAUUUCUAAAUAAAAUGUCUUCGAAAAAAAAAUCAGUUAUGACUGAGUUGCAGAAAAUCCAAGAUGCAAUGCAACAUACUUACCAUCGUAUAAGUGUUAUAGAAAAGAAACUUGCACAACAGAUUACUCUUGAUAAUAGAGAAUCAUUAGAGUCAGAACUAUCAAAUGCAAAAGAUUUGCUCAAAAAGAAUGAAGACAAACUCGCGAAAUUGCAAAAAGACAAUACGAAAACUUUCAUGAUUGCUGCUUGUGUUAUAUUUGUUAUAUACCUACUUUAUGGAUUAUACUCAAUGUUUUAUGUCAAUUAAACUGGAUACACGUAAUUAUAAGAAAUUAUUGUUAGUACAUUUUUUUUAAAUAGAAUUAUAAACUUUGGAACAUUUAUUUGUGAACAUAGAACAUAAAAUUUACGAUAUUGUUAAACAAUAUCUGACAGUUGUGUGGCAACAGUUCUUACUUACAUAUAUAUGUUAUAAAAAUGUUUGUGCAACAGUGGUGUGCUUGAGUAGACUUGAGUUAAAUGCUCUGGUAUAAUUAUUACAACCAAUGCUUCGAUUAUUAUACUAGUAGAUCAUAUUGUGGAGCACCAGCUUGACGACUCUUCAUGUAUUUCGCAUGUGUCUCAGCAUCCAAAAAACUGCCCUUCACAGCUGGGUCUUCUUUCAUGGCUAGCUUCCACUCCAGCUGGAACACAAAUAUUUGUGAAACUAGAAACUUAUGAAAUAAGUUUUCGAUUAUAGUUUGGUGUAUUAAGAUUACUAACCAAUCUAAGGAAUCUCUCACGUGGAAUGACAAACUGUUCCCCUCUGAGGAUUCUUAUAAUAUCUGCCCUCUCGCACCAUGGCCAGAUCAUUAAAUCUAGCAUGCCAGGUUGAUUACCUCCAAAGAAGGGUGUUGCUCUCUUAGCUAAUUCUCUAUCAAAGAUCUCUAAUCCUAGGAGUGCUUCGUUAAAUAAGUCUUUGUCAACAGUUUUUCCUGAAUAUAGCUGCAAAAUAAAAAAGAUACAGUAA